UUACACCUACGGGGGGCAGCAGUGGGGAAUAUUGCACAAUGGGGGAAACCCUGAUGCAGCGACGCCGCGUGAGCGAUGAAGUAUUUCGGUAUGUAAAGCUCUAUCAGCAGGGAAGAAAAUGACGGUACCUGACUAAGAAGCCCCGGCUAACUACGUGCCAGCAGCCGCGGUAAUACGUAGGGGGCAAGCGUUAUCCGGAUUUACUGGGUGUAAAGGGAGCGUAGACGGCGAUGCAAGCCAGAUGUGAAAGCCCGGGGCUCAACCCCGGGACUGCAUUUGGAACUGUAUAGCU
RNAcentral lists this ribosomal RNA (292 nucleotides) under uncultured bacterium. RNAcentral describes it as "partial 16S ribosomal RNA". It matches the Rfam family "Bacterial small subunit ribosomal RNA", at positions 333 to 642 of the family's 1533-position model. The record is from RNAcentral.